UAUAAUAUGAAAUAUUUUGUAAUAUUCACGCAACAAUAAUUGACUUUGUUCCAGUAGCCAGCAACUUUUUGCAGCACACCAAUACACCGCAUGGGGCUACCAGCACUUGCUCAACGGAUGCCCAAUGAAAUGGGCGAAAUGACCUAAUAGCAUAGGGACCCACGCAGUGGGUAUAAGUGCAAUUUUACUGGAAAUUCGUGCGAAAGCAGAGGUCAAAAAGUCAAAAGCAUGUGAACACACACACACACCGGUACUUUUACACUUGCAAGGGUUUGUGUGUGUGUGUGUGUCAGCAAAUAGCUUUGCUUGUGGCAACAUUGACAUGCAUAUAUUACAUUUACAUAUGUAAAUUCAACAGUGGUGACAACGCAGGGUAAGGGACGCAGCGUGUGGAAAGCACUUGCUAUCUUGCAACACCAGUUGCCAACAAGGCGGCAUUGGGCUGGGCGUUCAAGUGUCGUUAGCUUGUUGGAAAUUGGAAUAUGGAAUUGACCAACUGCGCCAGAUUUGCGCCAAUGCCAAGCAAGAGAGAUUGUGCAAUGGUUAAACGUGUAUGCAACAACAACAACAGCAAAAAGUGCAAUCAUUUGAAGAGUAGCUGACACAGGGGACUGAGCUGGAGGCCACAAUGGCAUGAACUGGCACAAAUAAGCGCAAUAGCCGAAUGCUGAGUGUGAAAAAGCACACGCAAAAACGAAUGACAACACACACAAUCGAAACGCAAUCAAGUGCAGGCAGCAUGUGGCAAGUGGCAAAUGACAUAUUGCAUUUACAUAACUGUAUCUGUGUAUGUGUAUGCGUGUGUUACAUAGCCACUUUGUGAUGUCAACCCGGCCAACCGCACCGCACCGCAGCGUCGAGCGAGUCAGUUCAGUCAGCCGGGUCAUUACUAUCGAACGACGGACAGCAACGGCCCGGUCACUUAACACAGUCACUCAACAUUUUCGAUACGAUUUAUUUGCUGCCACAUAUGCUUGCCACCAGCAAUUGAACUUACUGUGCCCAAACGAUAUAUGAAAUACGGAGAAUUUAAUAUGCUGUGGACAAAUUGCAAUCGCAAAUGAGAGUA
This is a long non-coding RNA of Zeugodacus cucurbitae (melon fly), 1069 nucleotides long. RefSeq lists it as uncharacterized. The record is from RefSeq and is a predicted model, not a curated record. Lineage: Eukaryota; Metazoa; Arthropoda; Insecta; Diptera; Tephritidae. The transcript has 2 exons.